UUUAGGGGCAAUAAACUUAUUGCCGAUAUAGUAUUCCUAAAAUUGAGAUAUUAGCGGUAGAUCAAUACUUUCUAGGAAAAGGUGCUCUUUUACUGUCAAUUAAACGGUUUUCCCUCCCAUUAUUUUUCACAACAAUCACCUAUUCCCUCUAAAUAUUUUUCCCGUAAUUUGAAUAGAUUCAAUUAAGGAAAAAUUUAGAUGGAGGAAAUAAGCAAAAGGGCUUUCAUCUCUCUCAGUCGCGCCGAUGCCAAUCUCAUCUUUUUCUAAUCAUCGCCGACCAUCAACCCAAGUAAUGAACUCUUCUCGAUCUUUCUCAAUGAGACAACAUCAUAUUCAUAUGGGCAAUUCUAGAGGCUUUGCUGCAGGAAAUAUAUGUAUAGGGAAAGUUGAAGUUGUUCAGAUCACCAAGUUUAAGGAAUAGUGGUUACCAUUGUUAUUCUCAACAUACUAAUAGCCAAAUAAUUUGCAACUCUUGUUCUAUUCUAGGUCAUAUAAAUAAUGUCCAAAAAUAUAGCACUUGGAAGAUUUCAAUACGAUGAAGAAUUGCGGAAUUAUUUUUGUGAACUUAUGUAUCUAUUAUUUUGUUAUUGUGGGUAUUCGAUAGGAUUAGUUGUAAUGACACUAAUUAUAUAAUUCAAUAUAAUUUUAUCUUUUAUGUCGUUCUUA
This is a non-coding RNA of Nicotiana tabacum (common tobacco), 666 nucleotides long. Lineage: Eukaryota; Viridiplantae; Streptophyta; Magnoliopsida; Solanales; Solanaceae. The record is from RefSeq and is a predicted model, not a curated record.